CUGAAAAGGUAUGAAAGGCUCAUCAGAUACCAGCCACCAUUGGAAAGAAACCCUUAAUAAUCCUACAAAGAUCUUUCCCUCAUAGAAGUAUGAGGAUGUGAAGACCAUGAGUCAUUUUACCAAUAUGGAAACAGAGGCCCAGAGAGCCCUGGGAAUAUAAACAUAUUCCCAAGACCACGGAGUCCCAGCUGGGCUCCCACUGUGACUUGGCCCACGGGACAGAAGGAAUGGAACCAGGAAAGCAGAGACCUGUGAAAUGCACCUGCUGGCUCCUCCCCCUUGAUCUGGACAGAGAUGUGGGAUACCUGUUCACCAUUCAUUAGAUGCUCGGGAAGCCUUGCUAAUUAGAUGAAAAUAAAGGAAAUGAAAA
Pan troglodytes (chimpanzee) is the source of this 370-nucleotide long non-coding RNA. RefSeq lists it as uncharacterized. NCBI's taxonomy places the organism in Eukaryota, Metazoa, Chordata, Mammalia, Primates, Hominidae. The record is from RefSeq and is a predicted model, not a curated record. The transcript has 2 exons.